CACCUGUGGUAAAUUCAGUUGAUUGGACAUGAUUUGGAAAGGCACACACCUGUCUAUAUAAGGUCCCACAGUUAACAAUGCAUGUCAGAGCACAAACCAAGCCAUGAAGUCCAAGGAACUGUCUGUAGACCUCCGAGACAGGAUUGUAUCAAGGCACAGAUCUGGGGAAGGGUACAGAAACAUUUCUGCAGCAUUGAAGGUCCCAAUGAGCAGAGUGGCCUCCAUCAUCCAUAAAUGGAAGAAGUUUUGAACCACCAGGACUCAUCCUAGAGCUGGUCGCCCGGCCAAUCUGAGCGAUCGGGGGAGAAGGGCCUUAGUCAGGGAGGAGACCAAAAACCCGAUGGUCACUCUGACAGAGCUCCAGCGUGUCUCUGUGGAGAGAGGAGAACCUUCUAGAAGAACAACCAUCUCUGCAGCACUCCACCAAUCAGGCCUGUAUGGUAGAGUGGCCACACGGAAGCCACUCCUCAGUAAAAGGCACAUGACAGCCCGCCUGGAGUUUGCCAAAAGGCACCUGAAGGACUCUCAGACCAUGAUGAAACAAAGAUUGAAGUCUUUGGCCUGAAUGGCAAGCGUCAUGUCUGGAGGAGACCAGGCACCAGUCAUUACCUGGCCAAUACCAUCCCUACAGUGAAGCAUGGUGGUGGCAGCAUCAUGCUGUGGGGAUGUUUUUCAGCGGCAGGAAGUGGGAGACUAGUCAGGAUCAAGGGAAAGAUGAAUGCAACAAUGUACAGAGACAUUCUAUUCAAUUCAAUUCAAUUUUAUUUGUAUAGCGCUUUUUACAAUAGACAUUGUCCCAAAGCAGCUUUACAGAAAUAUCAACACGGUAUACAGAUAUUAAAGGUGCUAAUUUAUCCCAACUGAGCAAGACACUGAGUGGCGAUGGUGGCAAGGAAAAACUCCCUAAGAUGUUUUAAGAGGAAGAAACCUUGAGAGGAACCCGACUCAGAAGAGAACCCAUCCUCAUCUGGGUAACAAUAGAUAGUGUGAAAAAGUUCAUUAUGGAUUUAUAUGAAGUCUGUAUGGCCUUAGGAGAGAGAUCCUUGAUAGAUUAGAAAAUGUUGUUGGUAUUAAGGGAACAGUCCUGAGCCAGGAGAGGUCUUAUCUCACCGAUCGUUAUCAGUUCGUAGUUGUAAAUGGUGAUUUCUCCAUGCGUACUGAGGUUACUUUUGGUGUUCCACAGGGUUCUGUUUUAGGCCCACUGCUCUUUACUUUAUAUAUGCUACCCCUAGGUCAAAUUAUUCGUAAACAUGGAAUGAUCUUCCACUGUUAUGCUGAUGAUACACAGCUCUCUGAUCUACUGAAGGAUCCACACUGUAACCUGGAGACACUACACAUUAACUAUAAUAAACUCACCAGGACUGGCGUAUGACGGGAGUCUCACCGCAAACCUCUUCUCCAGGAUGAAGCAGUCUUGGUGAAGAGUUAGAACCCGUCCCACAUUUCCAGCAGUUUGGGAGCUGAAUCAUUAAACUUAAAGGGGCAGAGCAGAAACAAAGUCAAGAACAGGCAGAAGGUCGUACACAGGAGAAUUCAACACACAUAGCCAAAUAUCUGCUGUACAAAGCAACGGCACCGAUCUGCCCCGGGGAUGGAGACUGACGAGGCUUAAGUACACGUCCGGAAAUGUACAGCCAACUCAUCCCAAAGCACGAGGCGGGAGCAGGCGUGUACGAGAUGUGAUCGUCCAAUGGCAAGCCGGAACAUGACGCAUCGCAGUGGACUGGGCUUAAAAGAGGGGGAGACAGGACACCCAUCCCUCCCCCGACAUAGACACACGAAUGGAACAUAGUACAAACAGAAAUACAACUGAGGACGUAACAAUGGUCAAGUAUCAAAUAAAAUGUAAACUUGCAUUGAUUAAGUUAAUGUUGUUAGUAAUUGUUUAUAAAUUACCAUGGUAACGUGGAGCUCCAAGGUAUAAAAAUAUGGAGUUUGUCAUCAAACAGUAACCAGUUUUAAUACCUAAAAAAGUUUACGUAGCAAAAUUUAGCAAAGCGCUUUACAGUAAAUUAAAAUGUAAGAUUAAACUAAUUAAAUGUUGUGCAGCACAUGCUUAUGUUAAUGUUUGUUUCAUUAUAUGAUCAUAUAAAUAAAUAAAUACUCCCAAAGUCACCAGAAUUGAAAGCUUUUUGCUGUUAAACAUUUAGAGAUUGAGGUUGUGGUGACUCAGUAGUUCACUCAGUAUAUCUGGGUAAGACACAGUGAACGACUCACUGCUGGCAUUCAUGAAGAAGUCAUAAACUCCACUGGAAUAAUAAAUAGGAUCUAAUAAAACCAUGAGUGGAAAUUA
Long non-coding RNA from Ictalurus punctatus (channel catfish), 2293 nucleotides. RefSeq lists it as uncharacterized. NCBI's taxonomy places the organism in Eukaryota, Metazoa, Chordata, Actinopteri, Siluriformes, Ictaluridae. The record is from RefSeq and is a predicted model, not a curated record. The transcript is spliced from 2 exons.